Pyrus x bretschneideri (Chinese white pear) is the source of this 142-nucleotide small nucleolar RNA. RefSeq annotates it as small nucleolar RNA snoR74. The record is from RefSeq and is a predicted model, not a curated record. NCBI's taxonomy places the organism in Eukaryota, Viridiplantae, Streptophyta, Magnoliopsida, Rosales, Rosaceae. The transcript has a single exon.
AAAAAAGCAGGGCUCUGUUGCCUUCUGUGAACCGAGCUCCCGUAUACUUCAGGAAGAUCACUAGCAUUGUUUUUGGGUGAACCUCUGUACUUUGCAUAUGUUGCAUUUUGUGACUGAAGGUUCAGUUAAUGACGCCACAUUU